GUGGGCCCUUCAGAUGAGGGCUGCUUGGAGAUCACAAGGUUCGAAGUUCAACCCUCGUUGAGGCUCAGUGAAUUUUAAAGGCUGCUCUCCAGAGGAGAGAGUGAAAGGCUUUGGGAGGAGCACUAAGCAGCCAGUAGUUCACCAGAUAAAAACAGCAAUAAACCAGCUCACUCAAUCCUUGGCAGCGAUCACAUCAUUAUCUACAGCAGCAUUAUUAGGCAACUUUGCUUUAUUUCAACUUCGCAAGCUGCUAGCUAGUACAAAUGCUUUCUGUAUGUCGCACCUGAGGACUUGAAGGUCUUUUCAUGAUGAUAACCCAAUAAUUUGACAAAUUAUGACCUCUUGUUGUCUGUCAGUCACAACCUACCUACCUGAGAUGCGCACAGAUAACUCGUCCUGCCCCUCUCUUCCACAGUGACGUGACUGAGCAUGGUGCAGGACAGGUUCAGGGUCAGGUCAAAUAACAACAGGGGAGUUGUUGUUUACUUUUUCUUUAUUUGUUCUUUUUUUUUCAAGACAGAGUAUGAUGAAAGGGCACCAGUCAGGGCUGCAAAUUAUUUUUAGUAUUUAUUUUAUUUUAUUUUUGUUGGUUCCUCAUUCGCAGCCAAUCGUGAGCUGACUAUAGUGAUCUCAGAGAUCAUGUAUGUGCUGAUCGUGGUUCUGCAACUGUGGCUAAUCGUGGUUCUGGUCUACUGUUACAACAAGAUUUCGGAGGAGCACGAAGCUCGGGAGGCCCGUAAAGCUCUCAAGGCUCAGACACAGCUGUUAGAAUCAAAAGACAACUGUGACGGCGUGCAGCUGGAGUAACAUUAAUGGU
Molecule: non-coding RNA, 817 nt
Organism: Epinephelus lanceolatus (giant grouper)
Lineage: Eukaryota; Metazoa; Chordata; Actinopteri; Perciformes; Serranidae
Source: RefSeq, a predicted model, not a curated record